CAGGGUUGAGCAAGUUCUCAUCAAUUUUAUUUGCUUACCCGUACCCGUCAGCAAUAUAAUGAAGCAAAACUAGGUUAUCAAACAUACUCUGGUUUACUUAAAGUUUCACCUUACAAGAGUUAGUUCAGGGUUUACAGUUUGAUAGUGUUUGUAUUAUACAAAACUUCUGCAACAAUCCAUGAUAAAACUCCACAACAAAACCUGUUUUUUAAGUUAGAUGUCUUAUUUUGUGAACCCUUGAUAACGCAAGAAUUUAUUGUUGUUCAUAAAAAAAUCCUGCAGGGAAAGUAACUAACUAUGUUGACUUUGCAUUCAGAAUAUCAAGUGCAUAUUUAAUGAAAAUGGAAGACAUUGGAAGAUCUUGUCUUAGCCACAGAGGGUGGAGUAUCUGCAAAUAUAUAGACAGUGAAUUUGAUUUGGAAAAUAUUACUACUGAUGCUGAGUUGCAGGAAAGAAAGUGCCUGACCAUAUUACCACAGUUUUGGCGGUCCAUCUUCUCCGAGCAAAGCCAUAGGCCAUGGACCUGCUGCUCUGCUCUAAUUUGGUAGCAGCCUGACAGUGGUGAGAGAGCAGGGGGGCGGGGCUACAUUACGGGAGAUCUGGACGGUUUGGAGUUAGAAUGCCCAAAUCCUAAAUUUCUAUUUAACCCCUUUGCUUUAUUUAUAUGUACUUUAUAGCUCCCAGAAAUAUGAGCUAUCUACCUUAACAUCAUCAGAGUAGAACUAAACAUAUUAUCGCAAUAUGGGCUAUUUACUAUCGUGCGACCUUUUGAUUCUAACAUCUGUGUUUGUGUUGUAUGCCAAUGUAUUGCUAUUGGUGAUUUUCUGAUCAUCUUGGUGUGCAACCGAACUAUCAGUUGUCUA
Molecule: long non-coding RNA, 863 nt
Organism: Lolium rigidum
Lineage: Eukaryota; Viridiplantae; Streptophyta; Magnoliopsida; Poales; Poaceae
Exons: 2
Source: RefSeq, a predicted model, not a curated record